CUAAUUUCUCCUCUCAUUCCCGUUCAUCCAUCGUCAAUUCUUUCUGGGUUUGUAAAUAAUAAAUUAUUUCUUGCAACAAUAAACACAGUUCAUCCACAAGAGGAGCUCACAUGAAUCCCUUCAUCUUCGAAGCCCAUUUCCUCAUACCCACUUGAAGAAAGCUUCCUCGCAAACCUAUUUCUCCUCUCUUUUAACAUAUUCACGCAACACCAGACCUAGCUCACCUCCCUUCAGUAUUGAGCCUCGCAGCUCUUCCUUAGACUACACAUCAACAACCUGGCGUCGCUAUCCACACAAACCAGUCGCGGCAGUUUCGAAGAAGGAUUAGAUUGGUGAUAUGGUGGACAUCUACAGUUAGACCUCCAUUGGGUUCCUAUAAAGAGGAAUUGUUUGUUGGGGUCUGCGAUUUUGAACUCAUCAGCUAUGGCCACAGCAGGGAUUAUAUGUCCACUAGUCCUACUAGCCGCGAACACAGAGAAGGAGAAAGGGAUGGAGGG
This 497-nucleotide unclassified non-coding RNA is filed under the name Hevea brasiliensis (rubber tree). Lineage: Eukaryota; Viridiplantae; Streptophyta; Magnoliopsida; Malpighiales; Euphorbiaceae. The record is from RNAcentral.